CGAGUGUGGAGUUGCGCCUUUGCGAACGGAGGUUUCAAGCCUACUUAUGGUCUCAGGAGAGCUCCGGAGAAGGGUCUUGGGGACUCCCGGUCUUUCGUGGGCCGACGCCAGCCUCCGAAGACUGAAGGUCGCAGAGCCGGGCUGCUUGGGAAGCGAACCUGUCUCUCCCAGGGUGAAGUUGCUGGUGCUGCUCGCGCCCGAGGGAAGCUAGGUUCCCUUCAGGGAUCCUUAUGUCUCUUCUGAACCCACCUGGCAUUGCUUCGGCUCUCUCUUAGCCGUCAUUUCGGCCGCUUUCUUUCUUCUUCUUAAAAAGCCAAAACCUUUCGUCUCGACGUGGUCUUGGAGCCAAACUUGAAGAAUGAUUCGUGAAUCCGGAAUGGACGACAGUGUCAUUACGACAUAAUUUUGACCAUGGAUACUUAUGAUUCUCAAGGACCAACUUCUAGACGAAGGACCUCAAAUCUUAAGGACUACUUUGUGAGUGCCACCCCUCUGCAGAAACGACUGAAGUUGGCCAGGAGACAGAGUUCAGUUUUUCCCAGUCCAUCUCGAAGGAAAAUUCCCCAGUGUUCACAGUUGCAGACUAUUCUAGACUUCUAAGUGCAUUUAUUGCUGCCGAAAAGCAAAAAGGACUUGCUGUGGAAGUGGGAGAAGACUUCAAUAUCAAAGUGAUUUUCUCUACUCUUCUUGGAGUGAAAGGGACGCAAAGGGACCCUGAAGCAUUUCUUGUCCAGAUUCGUUCAGAAUCCCAGUCAUCACGUGAACACAGACAAGAUAAAGUGUUGUGGACCGGUUGGUUCUGUUGUGUAUUUGGAGAGAACCUUCAGGAGACUGUCUCAGAAGAUUUCACCUGUCUACCCUUAUUCCUUGCACAUGGAGCGGAAUCCAACACAUCCCUAAUCGGAGGCUGGUUUCAGAAAACUUUUGACUGUUGCUUUAGUCCUUUAGCAAUCAGUGCAUUUAAUCUUUCCUGGAUGGCUGCUAUGUGGACUGCAUGCAAAAUGGACCAUUACAUGGCUACUACUGAAUUCUUUUGGUCUGUGCCCUGUAGCCCACAGAGCUUAGAUAUUUCUUAUGCCAUACAUCCAGAGGAUGCAAAAGCUUUAUGGGACAGUGUCCACAAAACACCUGGGGAAGUUACCCAGGAGGAGGUCGACUUAUUUAUGAACUGCCUUUAUUCACAUUUCCAUAGGCAUUUCAGAAUUCACUUAUCAGCCACAAGAUUGGUUCGCGUCUCAACGUCUGUAGCUUCGGCACACACGGAUGGGAAAAUAAAGAUCCUGUGUCAUAAAUACCUUAUUGGUGUGUUGGCAUAUAUGACGGAACUGGCUAUUUUUCAAAUUGAAUGAAUUCUUGUAUGGACUAAUUGAUGCAUUGUAAACCCUUUUGAUCAUUUGCUGAAUUGCUAUGCUGAGUGGGACAGUAGAAGAAAUGGAGCACUUGUUUUCUCAGGAUGCCUUCGGAGUUGCCCAGGUGGAUCUGGAACCCAGUAGUGGUAGUGGGUGAGCUGCAUUCCUGGGCUUGUGUACCCAUCAUGUCACUGUGGCUGUGUCAUGUUAUAAAAGAUGGUGAAUUGUUAAUAUAAAAGGAUCCAAUUUAGUCAAAUAAACUUAUCUAAACUCUGA
This 1625-nucleotide long non-coding RNA is filed under the name Rattus norvegicus (Norway rat). RNAcentral's name for it is "long non-coding RNA NONRATT008383". The record is from RNAcentral. Lineage: Eukaryota; Metazoa; Chordata; Mammalia; Rodentia; Muridae.